This 263-nucleotide unclassified non-coding RNA is filed under the name plant metagenome. Its description in RNAcentral is "partial contains small subunit ribosomal RNA, internal transcribed spacer 1, and 5.8S ribosomal RNA". The record is from RNAcentral.
UUUCCGUAGGUGAACCUGCGGAAGGAUCAUUAUUGUAUAACCGAGGUGCGAGGGCUGUCGCUGACCCGAAAGGUCGUGCACGCCCGAGUGCCUUCACGCACAUCCAUCUCACCCCUAUGUGCACCACCGCGUGGGUCCCCCUUUGGCUUGUUCGGAGGGGGGCUUACGUUUUCACACAAACUUUGUAUGCAGUGUAGAAUGUAUUUUUUGUUUUUGCGAUCACGCAAUCAAUACAACUUUCAACAACGGAUCUCUUGGCUCUC